AACGAACGCUGGCGGCGCGCCUAAUACAUGCAAGUCGAGCGAGAAGACGUAGCAAUACGUUUGUAAAGCGGCGAACGGGUGAGGAAUACAUGGGUAACCUACCCUCGAGUGGGGAAUAACUAGCCGAAAGGUUAGCUAAUACCGCGUACGCUCCUUGGACUUCGGUUCAGGGAGGAAAGCGAUACCGUGGGUAUCGCGCUCUUGGAUGGGCUCAUGUCCUAUCAGCUUGNGGUGAGGUAACGGCUCACCAAGGCUUCGACGGGUAGCUGGUCUGAGAGGACGAUCAGCCACACUGGCACUGCGACACGGGCCAGACUCCUACGGGAGGCAGCAGUAAGGAAUAUUGCGCAAUGGGCGAAAG
This 361-nucleotide ribosomal RNA is filed under the name uncultured bacterium. Its description in RNAcentral is "bacterial SSU rRNA". It matches the Rfam family "Bacterial small subunit ribosomal RNA", at positions 29 to 381 of the family's 1533-position model. The record is from RNAcentral.